RNAcentral lists this ribosomal RNA (958 nucleotides) under uncultured Flavobacterium sp. RNAcentral describes it as "bacterial SSU rRNA". It matches the Rfam family "Bacterial small subunit ribosomal RNA", at positions 187 to 1152 of the family's 1533-position model. Lineage: Bacteria; Pseudomonadati; Bacteroidota; Flavobacteriia; Flavobacteriales; Flavobacteriaceae. The record is from RNAcentral.
GGCAUCACUUUAUAAUUAAAGUCACAACGGUGAAAGAUGAGCAUGCGUCCCAUUAGCUAGAUGGUAAGGUAACGGCUUACCAUGGCUACGAUGGGUAGGGGUCCUGAGAGGGAGAUCCCCCACACUGGUACUGAGACACGGACCAGACUCCUACGGGAGGCAGCAGUGAGGAAUAUUGGUCAAUGGGCGCAAGCCUGAACCAGCCAUGCCGCGUGCAGGAUGACGGUCCUAUGGAUUGUAAACUGCUUUUGUACGAGAAGAAACAACAUUACGUGUAAUGUCUUGACGGUAUCGUAAGAAUAAGGAUCGGCUAACUCCGUGCCAGCAGCCGCGGUAAUACGGAGGAUCCGAGCGUUAUCCGGAAUCAUUGGGUUUAAAGGGUCCGUAGGCGGUUUAGUAAGUCAGUGGUGAAAGCCCAUCGCUCACGGUGGAACGGUCAUUGAUACUGCUAGACUUGAAUUAUUGGGGAAGUAACUAGAAUAUGUAGUGUAGCGGUGAAAUGCUUAGAGAUUACAUGGAAUACCAAUUGCGAAGGCAGGUUACUACCAAUGGAUUGACGCUGAUGGACGAAAGCGUGGGGAGCGAACAGGAUUAGAUACCCUGGUAGUCCACGCCGUAAACGAUGGAUACUAGCUGUUGGGCGCAAGUUCAGUGGCUAAGCGAAGGUGAUAAGUAUCCCACCUGGGGAGUACGGGCGCAAGCCUGAAACUCAAAGGAAUUGACGGGGGCCCGCACAAGCGGUGGAGCAUGUGGUUUAAUUCGAUGAUACGCGAGGAACCUUACCAAGGCUUAAAUGUAGAUUGACCGAUUUGGAAACAGAUCUUUCGCAAGACAAUUUACAAGGUGCUGCAUGGUUGUCGUCAGCUCGUGCCGUGAGGUGUCAGGUUAAGUCCUAUAACGAGCGCAACCCCUGUUGUUAGUUGCCAGCGAGUCAUGUCGGGAACUCUAACGAGACUGC